AAGUAAAAAUCGUAACAAGGUUUCCGUAGGUGAACCUGCGGAAGGAUCAUUACCGAGUUUAUUGGGGGGUUGAGCUGGUCUUUGACAUGUGCUCGCCCCUCUAAUCCACUCUAUACACCUGUGCACCAAUUGUGGGUAUACGAGCAUGGAAGGGGGCUGGCUAACGGCCUCUGAAAGUGCGCAUAUACUCAUGUUUAUACACACUAUGUAUGUCUCAGAAUGUCUACUUUGCGUUAACUCGCAUAUAAUACAACUUUCAACAACGGAUCUCUUGGCUCUCGCAUCGAUGAAGAACGCAGCGAAAUGCGAUAAGUAAUGUGAAUUGCAGAAUUCAGUGAAUCAUCGAAUCUUUGAACGCACCUUGCGCUCCUUGGUAUUCCGAGGAGCAUGCCUGUUUGAGUGUCAUGAAUCUCUCAAUACUAGAGCUUGUUAAUUCAAGCACUAGUCAUUGGACUUGGGAGCUUGCCGGCCUAGUCGGCUCUCCUUGAAUGCAUUAGCUUGGACCUUUUUCACGAGGAUCCUCGGUGUGAUAAUUAUCUACGCCGUCAGAGAAUCGUGUGGCGCGUGCUACCCUGCUUUAUUGCAGCUGCUGUAGCCGCGGGGGGGCGAGCUUAUAAUCGUCUUCGGACAACUAUUAUGACAUC
This 644-nucleotide ribosomal RNA is filed under the name fungal sp. AX142. RNAcentral describes it as "eukaryotic LSU rRNA". The stretch from base 252 to 405 matches the Rfam family "5.8S ribosomal RNA". The record is from RNAcentral. Lineage: Eukaryota; Fungi.